AACAUUCUGAAUAUAACUAACUUCCUUCCUUCCUGCCUUCCUCCCUCCCUGCCUUCCCUUCCUUCCUGCCUUCCUUCUUCCUUCCUCCCUUUUUUCUUUUCUCCCUUCCUUCCUUCUUAAUAUGUUUUUGGCCUUUUCUUUAUAUAUGUGGCCUAGCAAUAUCCUGUGUUUGGAAAAGUAUAAACCUAAGGCAUCACCUUUACAGAAAAUAUCUUCCACGGAAACAUCUAAAGGCAAAAAUCCUUCAAAUUCAAAUUUAUCCAAUCAUUUCUUCUGCUUACUACCAUCCUAAAUCAUUUUUCUUUAGUAAGAUCUAUUAGUGUGAAGCUAUUAAGCUAUUAAUGUAUGUAUCAUAUUAAUGUAUUAAGACAUUAAGGCCACAGAUCAGCCCUGGGGUUCAGAGGGAUCCUGACAGCUACUCCUCAAGAUCCUCUCUGUUGUGAUUCAUCCCCCCGGGGCCCUACAGUUUCUCCUUCCUGACUCUUACAUUUCUUUGGAUGGCAUCAUUAUU
This 511-nucleotide long non-coding RNA is filed under the name Homo sapiens (human). Its description in RNAcentral is "non-protein coding lnc-METTL5-4:87". The record is from RNAcentral. Lineage: Eukaryota; Metazoa; Chordata; Mammalia; Primates; Hominidae.